RNAcentral lists this ribosomal RNA (1413 nucleotides) under uncultured bacterium. RNAcentral describes it as "bacterial SSU rRNA". It matches the Rfam family "Bacterial small subunit ribosomal RNA". The record is from RNAcentral.
GGACUUCGGUCUGGUGGCGAGUGGCGAACGGGUGAGUAAUGCAUCGGAACGUACCCGGAAGUGGGGGAUAACUAUCCGAAAGGAUGGCUAAUACCGCAUAUUCUGUACGCAGGAAAGAGGGGGAUCUUCGGACCUCUUGCUUUCGGAGCGGCCGAUGUCAGAUUAGCUAGUUGGUGGGGUAAAGGCCUACCAAGGCGACGAUCUGUAGCGGGUCUGAGAGGAUGAUCCGCCACACUGGAACUGAGACACGGUCCAGACUCCUACGGGAGGCAGCAGUGGGGAAUUUUGGACAAUGGGCGCAAGCCUGAUCCAGCCAUGCCGCGUGAGUGAAGAAGGCCUUCGGGUUGUAAAGCUCUUUCGGCCGGGAAAAAAUCGGUGAGGCUAAUAUCCUCAUCGGAUGAUGGUACCGGACUAAGAAGCACCGGCUAACUACGUGCCAGCAGCCGCGGUAAUACGUAGGGUGCGAGCGUUAAUCGGAAUUACUGGGCGUAAAGCGUGCGCAGGCGGUUUUUUAAGACAGGCGUGAAAUCCCCGGGCUUAACCUGGGAACUGCGUUUGUGACUGGAAGGCUAGAGUACGGCAGAGGGGGGUGGAAUUCCACGUGUAGCAGUGAAAUGCGUAGAGAUGUGGAGGAACACCAAUGGCGAAGGCAGCCCCCUGGGUCGAUACUGACGCUCAUGCACGAAAGCGUGGGGAGCAAACAGGAUUAGAUACCCCUGGUAGUCCACGCCCUAAACGAUGUCAACUAGGUGUUGGGUGGGUAAAACCAUUUAGUACCGGAGCUAACGCGUGAAGUUGACCGCCUGGGGAGUACGGCCGCAAGGUUAAAACUCAAAGGAAUUGACGGGGACCCGCACAAGUGGUGGAUGAUGUGGAUUAAUUCGAUGCAACGCGAAAAACCUUACCUACCCUUGACAUGCCAGGAACUUGCCAGAGAUGGCUUGGUGCCCGAAAGGGAGCCUGGACACAGGUGCUGCAUGGCUGUCGUCAGCUCGUGUCGUGAGAUGUUGGGUUAAGUCCCGCAACGAGCGCAACCCUUGUCGUUAAUUGCCAUCAUUAGGUUGGGCACUUUAACGAGACUGCCGGUGACAAACCGGAGGAAGGUGGGGAUGACGUCAAGUCCUCAUGGCCCUUAUGGGUAGGGCUUCACACGUCAUACAAUGGUCGGUACAGAGGGUUGCCAAGCCGCGAGGUGGAGCCAAUCCCAGAAAGCCGAUCGUAGUCCGGAUCGUAGGCUGCAACUCGCCUGCGUGAAGUCGGAAUCGCUAGUAAUCGCGGAUCAGCAUGUCGCGGUGAAUACGUUCCCGGGUCUUGUACACACCGCCCGUCACACCAUGGGAGCGGGUUCCGCCAGAAGUAGGUAGCCUAACCGCAAGGGGGGCGCUUACCACGGCGGGGUUCGUGACUGGGGUG